Molecule: ribosomal RNA, 908 nt
Filed under: uncultured bacterium
Lineage: Bacteria
Description: partial 16S ribosomal RNA
Rfam family: Bacterial small subunit ribosomal RNA
Source: RNAcentral
GUUGAUACUGUCUGGCUAGAAUUUGAGGUUGCUGUGAGGGGUGGAAUGUGUGGUGUAGCGGUGAAAUGCUUAGAUAUCACACAGAAUAUCGAUUGUUUCGAAGGCAGCUCAGGGCAUAAGCCAUUAUUGACGCUGAGGCACGAAAGUGUGGGGAUCAAACAGGAUUAGAUUUUACCCUGGUAGUCGGGCACACUGUAAACGAUGAUAACUCGCUGUCGGCGAUACACAGUCGGUGGCCAAGCGUUUAAAGCGAUAAGUUGGGAUCCACCUGGGGAGUACGACCGCAAGGUUGAAACUCAAAGGAAUUGACGGGGGCUUUUUUCCGCACAAGCGGAGGGGGAACAUGUGGUUUAAUUCGAUGAUACGCGAGGAACCUUACCCGGGCUCGAACGGCUUUAGAAUAUAUCGGGAGAGAUGGUAUAGCCAGCAAUGGCUGAAGUCGAGGUGCUGCAUGGUUGUCGUCAGCUCGUGCCGUGAGGGGGGGGUGUCGGCUUAAGUGCCAUAACGAGCGCAACCCUUGUCGUUAGUUACCAUCUUUAGGUCAUGCUGGGGGGGACUCUGGGAACGAGACUGCCACCGUAAGGUGUGAGGAAGGGGGGGAUGACGUCAAAUCAGCACGGCCCGGGUUACGUCCGGGGGGGCGACACACGUGUUACAAUGGUAGGUACAGAGGGCAGCUAUUUCCCAGUGAUGGGAUGGGGCGAAUCUCUAAAGCCUGGGAUCUCAGUUCGGAUUGGAGUCUGCAACUCGACUCUUUCAUGAAGUUGGAUUGGGCGCUAGUAAUCGCGCAUCAGCCAGGGUGGCGCGGUGAAUACGUUCCCGGGCCUUUUUGUACACACCGCCCGUCAAGCCAUGGAAGCUGGGGGUGCCUGAAGGGGUUCGUGACCGCAAGGAGCGACCUAGGGCAA